GAUGAACGCUGGCGGCGUGCCUAAUACAUGCAAGUCGAACGGAAAGGCCCUGCUUUUGUGGCUUGCUCGAGUGGCGAACGGGUGAGUAACACGCGAGUAACCUGCCCUUGACUUUGGGAUAACUCCAGGAAACUGGGGCUAAUACCGGAUAUGAUCUCCUGCUCCAUGGUGGGCGUUGGAAAGUUUCGGCGGUUGGGGAUGGACUCGCGGGUUAUCAGCUUGCUGGUGGGGUAGUGGCUUACCAAGGGUUUGACGGGUAGCCGACCUGAGAGGGUGACCGGCGACAUGACGACUGAGGUACGGCCCAGUAUGCAACGUUAGGCAACAGUGGGGAGUAUUGCAGAAUGGGGGGAAGCCAGAUGCGACAGCGCUGCGAGCGGGAUAACCGCCUUCGGGUUGUAAACCGCUUUCGAAUGUGACGAGGCGUGAGUGACGGUAACGGAUAAAGAAGCACCGGCUAACUACGUG
Molecule: ribosomal RNA, 468 nt
Filed under: uncultured bacterium
Lineage: Bacteria
Description: partial 16S ribosomal RNA
Rfam family: Bacterial small subunit ribosomal RNA
Source: RNAcentral